This 573-nucleotide ribosomal RNA is filed under the name Trichaptum abietinum. RNAcentral describes it as "Hirschioporus abietinus partial 28S ribosomal RNA". It matches the Rfam family "Eukaryotic large subunit ribosomal RNA", at positions 1 to 573 of the family's 3401-position model. Lineage: Eukaryota; Fungi; Basidiomycota; Agaricomycetes; Hymenochaetales; Trichaptaceae. The record is from RNAcentral.
CUGACCUCAAAUCAGGUAGGACUACCCGCUGAACUUAAGCAUAUCAAUAAGCGGAGGAAAAGAAACUAACAAGGAUUCCCCUAGUAACUGCGAGUGAAGCGGGAAAAGCUCAAAUUUAAAAUCUGGCGGUUUCACCGUCCGAGUUGUAAUCUGGAGAAGCGUUUUCCGUGUCGGACCGUGUACAAGUCUCUUGGAACAGAGCGUCAUAGAGGGUGAGAAUCCCGUUUUAUGGCACGGACACCCGAUACUUUGUGAUACGUUUUCUAAGAGUCGAGUUGUUUGGGAAUGCAGCUCAAAAUGGGUGGUAAAUUCCAUCUAAAGCUAAAUAUAGGCGAGAGACCGAUAGCGAACAAGUACCGUGAGGGAAAGAUGAAAAGCACUUUGGAAAGAGAGUUAAACAGUACGUGAAAUUGUUGAAAGGGAAACGCUUGAAGUCAGUCGCGUCUUCUAGGACUCAGCCUUACUUCGGUUAGGUGUACUUCCUGGUUUGACGGGUCAACAUCGAUUUUGAUCGACGGAUAAAGGAGAAGGGAACGUGGCACCUCCGGGUGUGUUAUAGCCCUCUUUGUAUAC